Molecule: ribosomal RNA, 409 nt
Filed under: uncultured Bacillus sp.
Lineage: Bacteria; Bacillati; Bacillota; Bacilli; Caryophanales; Bacillaceae
Description: bacterial SSU rRNA
Rfam family: Bacterial small subunit ribosomal RNA
Source: RNAcentral
CUCUGUUGUUAGGGAAGAACAAGUGCCGUUCGAAUAGGGUGGUACCUUGACGGUACCUAACCAGAAAGCCACGGCUAACUACGUGCCAGCAGCCGCGGUAAUACGUAGGUGGCAAGCGUUGUCCGGAAUUAUUGGGCGUAAAGGGCUCGCAGGCGGUUCCUUAAGUCUGAUGUGAAAGCCCCCGGCUCAACCGGGGAGGGUCAUUGGAAACUGGGGAACUUGAGUGCAGAAGAGGAGAGUGGAAUUCCACGUGUAGCGGUGAAAUGCGUAGAGAUGUGGAGGAACACCAGUGGCGAAGGCGACUCUCUGGUCUGUAACUGACGCUGAGGAGCGAAAGCGUGGGGAGCGAACAGGAUUAGAUACCCUGGUAGUCCACGCCGUAAACGAUGAGUGCUAAGUGUUAGGGGGU